CCUCAAGACAAUUACCUGCAUGAAUGUGUGCACCAGAGUAACAUUUUGAUUAUGAAUUCAUCUGUGAGUACACCGGCUGUUGUGAGUGCAAACAGGGCUCCACCCACCACCCAGUUCUCCUUUCCAGGCCUUGGCAGGACCCAGAGAUGUGCUCAUACCUGUCUGAAUUCUGUUCAGCUGGCCCUGCCACCACUGUGCUUGGCUGACUUCGGGAGCCUGUUGUAACCGAACAAGACACAAAGCUGUGGAAACCGGUCUGGACUCGCCUAGACACUCCAGAGAACUAUUGGUGAAGUGGGAGAUACAAACUUACAUGAUUUUUGAAGCAAAAAUGCAAUAAUGGUACCUUUGCUGUUACUGAUUCUGCAGUUAGCAUCAAGAUGUGGCUGAGACAUAAUUCAUCUUAUAUUAUAUUUGUGUACUAAAGGCAACAUGAAUAAGCAUGUGACUAAACUAAGGAUUGAACUCAUCAGAAAUAAAAAUGAGUUGUAAUUGUUAUUUGAA
Molecule: long non-coding RNA, 504 nt
Organism: Peromyscus leucopus (white-footed mouse)
Lineage: Eukaryota; Metazoa; Chordata; Mammalia; Rodentia; Cricetidae
Exons: 4
Source: RefSeq, a predicted model, not a curated record